Molecule: long non-coding RNA, 1909 nt
Filed under: Rattus norvegicus (Norway rat)
Lineage: Eukaryota; Metazoa; Chordata; Mammalia; Rodentia; Muridae
Description: long non-coding RNA NONRATT024439
Source: RNAcentral
CAUCGGUACACACCCCAACCACGCAUUUCUCCAAAGCUAGUUCAGACAGGGUGCAGGGGCAUGCUCCAUGCCCUCUGUGCCACCCCAGUCUUACCCUGGGAGAGGAGAUGGUUAGUACGCAGCUGUCCUGGGCAGAGAUGUGGCAGCUGCUCCUGGCCCUUUGUCUUCUCCCUUGGCCCUACUGGGGCUCCAGGCAAUGGUGUGUGGGCAUUGCCCUGUUGCCCAAGGGAGACAAGGACAGAAACCUGCAGAAGAGCCAAGUUGGGUCACGGGGCUAGCCUGAAGUCAACACAAGAGGACAGGUGGCAUCGUGAAGCUGAAGGCAAGGCAGCUAGAGAGCAGAAAGGGUUGAGAGGCUCCGUCCAGUGGGCGGGCGAGGGAGGGAUGCAUCCUGGGAGCAGAGGAUGGGGAUUCACGGAAGACCAUGGAUAGAGAAGCAGCCAGCUGUGAUGUGCCAGAAAACCAAGGUCUCUUUCCAGGACAUCCUCCUGUUCCUGAGCCCCAGGCCCCAAGCCCAGCAUAUGCCUGCAGCCCCUCUAGGUGACCGCAUUCUUAGCAAAAAGCUGGAGAGGGAUCUGGGGUAUAAUUUAUUAAGUAGACUCCACUUCCGCUUAGCUAUAUGUCAAGCCAAGACCUCACGCUUGGGCCUGUCCCCUCUAACUGGCUCCCAGUCAUGCACCCUGAAAUACCCUCAUCUUUACUGUUUUGGGCUCCCACUUUUUCAGAGGUCUUUGCCUCUAUAAACACAGCGUCAUGGGGCAGGGUGGCUAGUCGGAAUUGGACCCCCUUUCUGGAGUAAAACCAUUCCCAGUCAGUAGAGACCAAGCCACCCAGAUCAAAACUUCAUGCAAAGACCUCUCGCCGAAAGCCAGUGGUUGUAGUAGGCUGCAAAGCUGGCUAGUGGCUCUUGUCUGUGUGCAGAAUAACCUGCUCUCUACUCUCCCGCUACUAAGAACACGGAGGCUAUAGGUUGCUAUCAUUCUGGGAUCCUGUCCUCCUCACCAUUGGCUUACAACCGCAUAAUCUUGGGUAAAAGACCCCAGAAUUCUUGGGGUCUCUUACACCAAAGCAAGCCCGCCAAAGGAGACCAGUCUUACCCCAGGAGCACCCAGUCUUUCAUAAACCAGACAGCCAGAGAUUCAUAGGGAGUCUACACAGUCCAGAAAGACUAAAAGUCUCCAGAAUAUUGCGUAUGCAUACACAUAUGCAAUUACAUAGGUGGAGGUAGAGCCUGGAUCUUCCCUGCUUCCUGGUUUCCAAAGGAUCUGAUCCUCUGCUCUGGACUAGCACUACCAGCCAUGUGGGUCUCUGCCCCCCAUCUCCCUCUCUGCUGGGGCCCAGCCUGUACAUCACCAGGUGUUAAACACCAAGUACCUGGUUUGUAGUUCUGGAACGUUCUCCAGCAGUUUCCUUGCACCUCUGGCUCUCACCAGCAUCCUCUCAGCUGUUCUGUGCCAAAUAUGUCUGCAGCCCUGGGCUCAGCACAGGGGCCCCUCACCUGGGCAGUGACUGAGCUUCGCCCAUCCUGUUACGAUGUCUUAUGUACACCCUGCUAUUUACAGACCUGGCCUCGGAUCAUGUGACCCUCCGGGAAGAGUCCAGAGAACUGAGGCUAAGGCGGAGGCUUUUCUCUAGAGGCUUGGGCCCUGUUCCGACGUGGACUUUGGGGCUAGGAACCUGGGCUUCUCUCUGUGAAUGUAAGGACAGCUACUCAGAGAGCCUUGGUGGGGGCCUCUCCCCAUUUCCUGGGGUCAGACCCGCUCAGCACUUGGCAGCUGCCCCGUGUGGGGACUCAGUCCAACUCUGUUUUUGCUUUUCUUCUUGACCAAAGCAUGUGCCACCCAGUUGUCCAAAAGGACACCGUCUUUAUGAAACACACCUGGAAUAAAACCACUUCUUACAUGUCCAC